CCCUACGGGGUGCAGCAGUCGAGAAAACUUUACAAUGCGCGCAAGCGUGAUAAGGGGAUUCCAAGUGCUUAUCUUUGAUAGGCUUUUGCCAAGAGCAAAAAUCUUGGCGAAUAAGUGGUGGGUAAGACUGGUGCCAGCCGCCGCGGUAACCCCAGCGCCACUAGUGGGAACCAUUUUUAUUGGGUCUAAAGCGUCCGUAGCCGGUUAAGCAAAUUUUCUGUGAAAUCGAUGAGCUCAACUCAUCGGCGUGCAGAAAAGACUACUUAACUUGAGACCGGGAGAAGUUGAAGGUAUUCCGUGGGGAGCGGUAAAAUGCUAUAAUCCUCGGAGGACCACCGAUGGCGAAGGCAUUCAACUAGAACGGCUCUGACGGUGAGGGACUAAAGCCAGGGGAGCGAUCCGGAUUAGAUACCCGAGUAGUCCUGGCCCUAAACGCUGUCUGCCAGAUGUGGCACAUUUUACGAGAAUGUGCCGUGUCGUAAUGAAGAUGUUAAGCAGACCACCUGGGGAGUACGGUCGCAAGGCUGAAACUUAAAGGAAUUGGCGGGGGAGCACUACAAGGGGUGCGGCGUGCGGUUUAAUCUAAUUCCACACAGAGAACCUCACCAGGGGCGACGGCACAAUGAAAGUCAGUCUAAAGGGCUUACUUGAGGAGCCGAGAAGUGGUGCAUGGCC
This 675-nucleotide ribosomal RNA is filed under the name uncultured archaeon. RNAcentral's name for it is "bacterial SSU rRNA". It matches the Rfam family "Archaeal small subunit ribosomal RNA", at positions 321 to 999 of the family's 1478-position model. The record is from RNAcentral.